CCUACGGGUGGCAGCAGUGAGGAAUAUUGGUCAAUGGGCGCAAGGCUGAACCAGCCAAGUCGCGUGAGGGAUGACGGCCCUACGGGUUGUAAACCUCUUUUGUCAGGGAGUAAAGGGCGGCACGUGUGCCGUUUUGCGAGUACCUGAAGAAAAAGCAUCGGCUAACUCCGUGCCAGCAGCCGCGGUAAUACGGAGGAUGCGAGCGUUAUCCGGAUUUAUUGGGUUUAAAGGGUGCGUAGGUGGAAUGUCAAGUCAGCGGUAAAAUUUUGGGGCUCAACCUCGUCGUGCCAGUGAAACUGGCGGUCUUGAGUACGCUAGAAGUAUGCGGAAUGCGUGGUGUAGCGGUGAAAUGCAUAGAUAUCACGCAGAACUCCGAUUGCGAAGGCAGCCUACUGGCGCGCAACUGACGCUGAUGCACGAAAGCGUGGGUAUCGAACAGGAUUAGAUACCCUUGUAGUC
RNAcentral lists this ribosomal RNA (459 nucleotides) under uncultured bacterium. Its description in RNAcentral is "partial 16S ribosomal RNA". It matches the Rfam family "Bacterial small subunit ribosomal RNA", at positions 338 to 795 of the family's 1533-position model. The record is from RNAcentral.